UGGUUGAUCCUGCCAGUAGUCAUAUGCUUGUCUCAAAGAUUAACCCAUGCAAGUCUAAGAACGAUGUUUUAUUCACUUCUAUCCGCGGACAGCUCAUUAUAUCUAUAAUAAUGUAUUUCUAGAUGAUUCUUAUAUUUAUAUCUGAACAAAAUGUUGAGCCAAUAAAUGCCUAAAACAUUACUCUGUAAUGUGUAUUUACUGGAUUGUUGAUUAAUUUUGAUGACUCACAGUAACUUUUCGGACCCUGUCAAGGGUAGUAGAUUUCAAUUUUAGCCCCAUCAUGCUGUUGCUUGUGUAGUGAACAAGCAAACAAAUAACGGGUGACGGAGUAUUGACGUACGACUCCGGAGAGACGGCCUUAGAAACGGCCGUCAUUUCUAAGGAAAGCAGCAGGGGCGCAAAUUACACAAUGUCAGAACGACGAUGUAGUGACAAGAAAUAUCUGAGUUUUAGUCUUAUGAUUAAAACUACAGAAAUGAGUUAGGUCUAAAACACCAAACGAUGAACCACUCGAGGGCAAGUCUGGUGCCAGCAGCUGCGGUAAUUCCAGCUCGAGUAGCGUAUACUGAAAUUGCUGUGGUUAAAAAGCUCGUAGUUUAGUUUCUUUUAUUGGGUUUGUUUCCACUUCAUUCGUGAGGUGUGUAAACUCCUCCCAAUUUAAUUCGCCACGUUAUUUACUUGACGAGGUAUUUUACCGAGAUCAAAUCAAACUGCUCAAAGAAGGCUCACGCCAGAACACUACAGCUUGGCACAAAAACAUAGGGAUUCUAGUUUUUAUAAUCAAAAACACUCAAAUCAAUAACACAUAGGAGCAAUUGGGGGUGCUUGUAUUUCAAGGCUAGAGGUGAAAUUCUUGGAUCCUUGAAAGACAAUCUCAUGCGAAAGCAUUCACCAAGCGUGUUUCCUUUGAUCAAGAACGAAAGUUGGAGGAUCGAAAACGACCAGAUACCGUUGUAGUUCCAACCGUAAACUAUAUAGACUCGAGGCUUUCCAUUGUUUAACUAAACUUGGAAAGAAUCGUAAGAGAAAUCAAAGUAUUUAUAUUCCAGGGGGAGUAUGGUCGCAAGAUUGAAACUUAAAGGAAUUGACGGAGUAGCACCACAAGGGGUGGAAUUUGCGGCUUAAUUUGACCCAACGCGGGGAAACUUACCAGUGUCAGAGAAUAGUAGGAUUGACAGAUUGAAGCUCUUUCAUGAUUUUUAUGUUGGUGGUGCAUGGCCGUUCUUAGUUGGUGGAGUGAUUUGUCUGGUUAAUUCCGUUAACGAACGAGAUGA
RNAcentral lists this ribosomal RNA (1274 nucleotides) under metagenome. Its description in RNAcentral is "SSU rRNA". It matches the Rfam family "Eukaryotic small subunit ribosomal RNA", at positions 5 to 1343 of the family's 1831-position model. The record is from RNAcentral.